This 1245-nucleotide long non-coding RNA is filed under the name Coturnix japonica (Japanese quail). RNAcentral's name for it is "lncRNA (ENSCJPG00005011192.1)". Lineage: Eukaryota; Metazoa; Chordata; Aves; Galliformes; Phasianidae. The record is from RNAcentral.
AUGAGGCCCACGAGGGGGGGCAGGGAGGGCAGCCCCACGGCGGUGCCCCCCCCUGUGCCCGGCGGUGUCAGCGGGUGGCACGUGUCCCCAGCAGCCCCGCUUCCGUGGGCGCCACGGGAGGCACACCGGGUCCGGGUACCGCGCCGUGGGGGGGGGCGUGCAGCGCGGUGCCACGCGUGGGGCGCUGCUCGGGGAGGGGAGCGGCCCCACCUGUGUGUGCGGGGGGGGCAGUGCGGUGCCGGAGGGCGGCGCGCGGGGCGGGAGCGGGGUGUUGUGCUGUGCGGUGCCGUGCCGUGCCGAGCCGUGCCGAGCCGCCCCAUUCCGUGCCGUGCCGCCCCAUUCCGUGCCGUGCCGUGCGGUGCCGUGCGGUGCCAGGCGCGGGGCGGGGGCGGCCGUGCCCGCUUGGCGGCGGGGGCGCGCCCAGCUGUUGCGCCGUCCCUCCCGCGGGCGGGUCCGCGCUCGGCCGCCCCGCAUUGGCGGCGCCGGGCGGAGCGGCGCGGGGCGGCGCGGGCGGCAGCAGCGGCGGGGCCGGGGCCGUGCCCGGAGGCAGCAUGGCCCGCUGAGGCCGCCUGCUCGCUCGCCCCGCGCCGCCCCGCGCAGCGCUCCGCGGGGCGCGCCAUGGGUGCGCGGCCGCGCCGCCGCCGGGCCCCCUCCGCCGCCGCCGCAGCACCGGGAGCGCUCGUCUCCUUGCUCGCCGCUGCCCUGCUGGCCGCCGCCGGUGAGUCCCCGCGCGGCAAGGUCACCCGGGAGAGCGGCACCGGGAGGGCGACGGGUGGGGGCCGGCGGGGGGCUGCCCUCGGUACGCGGUGCCCGCUUCCCCCGGCGCGGAGUCACGGGGCAUCUUCCGCCGCGCCGUUCCCCGAGCCGGGCGCUGCCGCCCCGCGUCCACGCGUGUCCCCUCGCCCCGCGGCUCCUCUCUUCCGUGGGUCGUUCGGUGUCCCAAACGCAGCGGCUCCGUCCGCCGGUUCUCACCCGGUGCGUGCGGUCCCGAGCAGCGGGUGGGACGCGGGGGACGGGAUUAUCCUCGCCCUGGGGACUGAGUCUGGGUGGCCGCGGCGUGGGGUCCGUGGAGCUGUGCGGGUGUCGCUGCAGCCCGGCUGUCCCCCGCGUGCCGCACGCACGGACGGGAGCUGCUGUGCCGGCUCGGCCCCCCUCGCCUCCCCUCAACAACGUUGGGCCGGGGGCUGCGGGGCGGGAGGGAGGUGCCGGUGGCGGCGGCUCCUGGCAGGUGUCACGUUAGCCUGA